CUUCUUCUCCCAAUUGAGCUAUGGACUCUAGUAUAGAGUCGAUGGGAAUGUAGAGGGCUGAGGAAGUAACCCUUGAAAUUGACUAUAGGGCAAUAAUUGUUGCUGUGGCCAUAGGUAUCUAUCUUUUGCGAUCAUCAUUUGGAUUUAGUUCUUAGAGAUGGUCUCUAUCAUUUGCAUGGUGAUGUAUAUGUGAACUUACUUGAGCAAUCAGUGAAUGCCAUU
RNAcentral lists this long non-coding RNA (222 nucleotides) under Elaeis guineensis (African oil palm). RNAcentral's name for it is "long non-coding RNA (EGUI_LNC034315)". The record is from RNAcentral. Lineage: Eukaryota; Viridiplantae; Streptophyta; Magnoliopsida; Arecales; Arecaceae.